This is a long non-coding RNA of Fukomys damarensis (Damara mole-rat), 4827 nucleotides long. RefSeq lists it as uncharacterized. The transcript has 2 exons. Lineage: Eukaryota; Metazoa; Chordata; Mammalia; Rodentia; Bathyergidae. The record is from RefSeq and is a predicted model, not a curated record.
AGAUGAAUGUCAUGCUUACCAGCAGCUCUCUCAGUUUUAGUAGGAAAAUGUGUACUUUGGGAAGAAUUGUCUGGGAUAGCAAGCAACACUGUUCUACUUUACAGACUAUCUCUUUCUAUCUCUCUGUCUCUUUGUCUCUCCUUGUCUGUGUCUCUCUCUCCUCUCUGCUUCUGUUUUCAUCUCUCUUCCCUACAGGUAUAUUCUGGCCAUGUCCAAUCACUGAGCUCCAAGUGGUUCCUGUUGAUCGGUGUGUUUGCCUUGCAGGCUGCCGGCUUCCCUGGGUGCCCUUCCCUUUCUUCAGCAUCUGACCAACUCCAUCUCCCCUUUCAUGUGUCAUCCCUCUUUGAUGUCUUCCCUCACUCUCCUUCCUCCCCAACCAGUGAUUGGUCUUCUGUGCACCUCAGUGCUUUGCUGAGAUACCACUUGUGAUACCGCUAGAUGCUCCUUGGUCUCAGUAAGACACCCCUCUGGGUGCCUCUCAGUCCCUGCCCUGAGUUACACAGCUCCAACCGUCUCCUGCCUUGACUCUUUUCUACCUUCUUAACUGGGUGCCUGGUCUUCAGAUCCAUCCUUUGUGAUGCUCUGAAGUCUCAAGCGAUCACGCUGAAAAGAGUUAUCUGUGCAUGUCACCAGUUUAAAACUCUUUGAAGGAGAAUAAAAAACCAACUCCUCAAUGAAACAAAAUUAAUUUGCUAGUAAAGCACAGCAGAGAAGGAUCUUAUUUCUCAAGGCCUUGCCCUUUUGCCCCCACUUACUGCUUCAGUGGUGGCCCCCUAGUUUCCUCUAGGGGACAUUUCCAAAAACUGGGUUUCACUUUUGUGGUCCAGAAGCCACCCAGAAAUGCUAGGCAUCAGCCUUGCACCAUUGUGCCCAAAGUCCCAGGUCCUGAGGGAGUCUGGGAGGCAGCUCACUCAGAAUACUCCCUGAAGAUUCUCCAAACAUUUGAGUCUCCAGGACAUCAGGGCUGGGCCAGACCCACUAAGACUUAACAGGAAUCAGCUAAGGAGUAUCUAGGCUUAUAAUAUGAGACUUCAUUUCUUAUAGAAACAGUCUCUUACCUUUAUUCAUUGACCCAGAAUUUGCUUUUUAGGCUGAAAUCCAAAAUAAAAUCAUACAAUAAAUACCAUAAGUAGUAAAAUUUUGUUUCAAGUCAUUGAGAUGUCUUAGUCUCUAAAGACAUUUUUGCAUUUCCUGAUGUCCAAGCAAUGUGGAAGCCACCCAGUCCAGAGGCUAAGCCUGAAUAAGUGUGCAAAGACCCAUCUUUUCUAUCAUUGGCUCUCCUAGUCAUAUUCUACCUGCUGGACUUUCUAAAUGGCCCUGUAGUUGGAUCCCAUGUGAGACCAGCAGGCCCAAUCCAGAUUCAGAAAGCAUGGUAAUGACGAUGCCACCAUAGACUGAGGCCUACCCUAUACAAACGAGACUCUGACGUUGUUGGCACACCUGGAGGGAGUUCUGACUCCCUCCUCAGUUUAGAAUUAAGAGGCUGAGUUUCAGACAAUCAGAGGUUAAAUGACAAGAUAGGAAACUGAUGGACAUCAGCUCCAUGCCCAGGGUUUAAGCCUGUGAACUAGUAUUGUCAUCAAACGUUAAGCGUGCACGCACAUAUACAACAUCUGAAAUUCUACAUUGCAAAUUUGCAGCUGAGAACAAAGUUGAGAGUAAUUUAUUGCAUUACUGAAUAAACACUAUACACUUUGCUUUUAUUUUGGAUUUUGGAUGGUGUUCUUGAUUUUGCUAACUUCUGAUUUUGAUUUGACUCUCUUUCCAGCAGCUUUUUUCACCUUCUGUGGUAUUUUCAAGUUAUUUCAGUUUGUUUACCCCUUAUUCAGGGCUCUGGUGGGGGAAGCAACUGAAAACAUUGCUGAAAAUAGACAGUAUGCUCUAUUUUAAAACUGUGGAGCCAGGGGGAUUGGAUCACCCUUGCUUAGGAUCUCUCCCAGCAUGCUCUGGUCAGGCUGCCUACUCCUAUAGGGGUGCUGAAGGCCUUCCAUCCCAGACAUUGGGCCUGAUAAGAGCAGCUGCAGAACGGAGAAGCCUAGAUACUUACUGAAGAGUUCAUGGGAGUUUUCAAGGGCAGUGAUAACUCAGGGAGUAGGUGACUGAAGCUUACCAUAUAGCCCUUUGCCUGGGCACUCCCUCAGACACUCCCCACUACCUUUCCUAUUGGGGUCUGCUCGGCUCCUUUCUCCUUUUCUGUUUUUUACUUUUUCUUCUUUCUUCUCUCUUUUUCUCUCUACCUUUUCCCUCUUUAUUUGCUCUUGUCCAAACUUAGUCCUUUUAAACAGUUAAAAUAUAAGGCUACAUUAUUGAAUAAAGUCUCUGCAUUUUAGGUAAUACUUUUAAUAGUGUGCAGCUUAAACUUUGCUUGCCUUAAACAUAAAAACACAAAAUUAAUAUUAAGUGACAUCUUACUUGUAUGUGCCUCAACUGCUUUUUCCUUUGAAUGAAGCCCUCUCAUUUGAAAAAGAAAACAUCCCACUUCCCCCAUCAUAGAUACAAUGAGAGUAAAUUACUUUCUGUCCCUAGCCAGUUUUGACUUCAAGGAGCUGGGAUGAAAAGUAACAAAGUGUCCCUUCUUACCUGUUUCUUAUAAGAGCAGGAUACGUUUUUACCAAGUAGUCAGAAAUGUUCCUGUGGGUAAGGUCUUGUAGGAUUUCAGUGCUGCCCUGUGUUCUCUGAAGCAAUGAGACACUCACAUUAAUAACUUUGGAAUUUGAGUCUUUACAAUUUGUUAAACUGCUGUUCUUCUCCAAACAUUAUUUAUGGACUCAUCUCCUGGGAAAAUACAAAAUAAAGCACUGGCAUCUGCCUCGUUGCCCCAUCAGUGGUGUGGGAGUUAUCUUAGGUCCCUUUUUCCCUCGGUCCAUUGACAAGAUAGAAUAACUUAACUCCAAAAUAAAUUCCCAGCCCAUGUGAUUAUCUAGCUUCGACUUUUUCCAGUUCGUGUGCAUUUAUCCAGUUCCAAUCAUGCAGACCUCACCUAGGCCUCUAGAAAACUUCCAAAGUGUCUCCCUUACUCCACCUGUCCCUCUAUGUUCCAUUCUCCACCCAACAGCCAGAUGGAGCUUUUAAAGUUCAAAUCACACCUCAGUCACCUUGCUUACCACUCUCCAAUAAACCCUAGUGUCAAAUCCGAUCUCACCAUCCAGGUGCUGUGGCCCCUCGCCAUCUGGCCCUGCCUUUCCCGAGAUCACUUGCCACCCUCCCAUUGCCCUCACCCAUUCCCUCUAGUUUCUCAGUGGUCGCCUCUCCUUUCUGACCUGGCUUCACAUUUGGUGGUUCACCCUUCCUGAAAGCUACACACUGCCACCUCUCAGCUGAAAUUUGAUUCAUCCGAGCAGAAUCUCUGUUCCUGGCUCCUCUCUACAGUCACACAUACUGUUGUGUUGCCUUCGUAGUGCUCAUCCUCACAUGAGACUUGCCUUCUGAAGGGCCCAUUUACUGUUUCUAUUACCCCUCAUGUGGUACCAUUUCAUGGUUAGUCUCUGACCUGUUGGCUGCUGUGGCCCUGGCACCCAAAUAGUUCCUGGCAUACAGCUGUCACCCAAAUAUUUGUGACAUGAAUGAAAUAAUAUGAAUAGUACUUUAUAAUUUAUAAACCACUUCAAAAUACAUCUAGGGCCAGAAGCCAAUUAAUCCAAAAGAUUUUGGAGAAUUAAAAAAAAAUGCAUGAGUUUGGCCUCCAGAUGGCAAUAUACCUUUGUAUUUAGGGACACAUAGUAUUUACUGAAUUUUUUGUGUUAGCUGAUUUCAUACCCCAAUCAUGAACCUUGGGCAAAAGCAUUCACUUUGUCUACGGUGCCACCCAGGGGUUGGUGGAAUUUUUGGUGGUGUUAAAGCCACCACCAUUAUGCAUCAUUCUUUUCAUCUUCAUACACUUUCCAUCUUCUUUCUCUUUACCAUCUGCCUGUCCCCCUGCUAUUCACUUUCUCAUCUUGUUUCUCUGCUAGAACUAGCAUCUACUGAAUGAUUGCUGUGUGCACUAUGUUAAACACACAGUUUCACUUUGUCCUGAUACUUUUUUUUAAAAAAAUCAGUACAUAUUUGCAGUCCAUGCAGUGUACAAUCAUCUUGGGGAGUGGGCGCAUGAAGAAGAAUUCUUACUUCAAUUUACAGACAGACAAACUGAAGUCCAGAAAGGUUGGCUGAUUUGCCCUGGCUUACAGGACUUGUAGGUUGUUGGCCUGGGUUAGGAACUUGCAUCUGUCUGGCUCCAAGGCCCUUGCUCUUGCCACUCUGUAACCUGCUUCUCAGGCUGACAGUGGCAUCCAGAGAAACUGCCACCCUGCCUCGGUGCAAUUGAUGCUGGGAUAGUUUAUAAUAAGCCAUUUUUAAAAAUCAUGUCAAAACAAAAUCUUGUCACUUAUGCUAGAAGCCAGGGACAGAGCACUUCCAACUCAGGACUCAUCAUCAUUGAAAGAAUUUUAGAGAAGGAAGGGAUCCUAGCAAACACCCCAUUUUCCAGACUAAGAAUAUUUACUACUUCUGAAUCAGGCCCAUACCCUCUGCCCUUAUUCUAGGCAGAAUGGGAGUGUACAUUGAAUUAAUGGUUGUGUGUGUGUGUGUGUGUGUGUGUGUGUGUGUGUGUGUGUGUGUGACAACAGUGCCAAGGCAAAUGUGCAGCAUUCAGUUUUACUCCAAAGAGGAAAUGUAAGAUUAAAAGAAAAUAAUAGGAACUGGUCUGCGUUUUCUAGCCCUUGACUCUAAUGGCUUGUUAAAUUUCCCCACAGGGACCAGGGAUCAACGCUACUGAGAAAUUUUAACCUGGGCAAGCAGCUUCAAGAUUCUGCCAUCUUGAUAUGAGUUGGAGCAUGGAGAAGCAGAGGG